Non-coding RNA from Myotis brandtii (Brandt's bat), 64 nucleotides. Lineage: Eukaryota; Metazoa; Chordata; Mammalia; Chiroptera; Vespertilionidae. The record is from Rfam.
GGUGGUUCUCGGGUGAUGCACCCUGGAAUCUCUCUGGUUCCAGGUGUAUCACCCGAGAACCGCA